Molecule: ribosomal RNA, 729 nt
Filed under: Salmonella enterica
Lineage: Bacteria; Pseudomonadati; Pseudomonadota; Gammaproteobacteria; Enterobacterales; Enterobacteriaceae
Description: bacterial SSU rRNA
Rfam family: Bacterial small subunit ribosomal RNA
Source: RNAcentral
AAAUUGAAGAGUUUGAUCAUGGCUCAGAUUGAACGCUGGCGGCAGGCCUAACACAUGCAAGUCGAACGGUAACAGGAAGCAGCUUGCUGCUUCGCUGACGAGUGGCGGACGGGUGAGUAAUGUCUGGGAAACUGCCUGAUGGAGGGGGAUAACUACUGGAAACGGUGGCUAAUACCGCAUAACGUCGCAAGACCAAAGAGGGGGACCUUCGGGCCUCUUGCCAUCAGAUGUGCCCAGAUGGGAUUAGCUUGUUGGUGAGGUAACGGCUCACCAAGGCGACGAUCCCUAGCUGGUCUGAGAGGAUGACCAGCCACACUGGAACUGAGACACGGUCCAGACUCCUACGGGAGGCAGCAGUGGGGAAUAUUGCACAAUGGGCGCAAGCCUGAUGCAGCCAUGCCGCGUGUAUGAAGAAGGCCUUCGGGUUGUAAAGUACUUUCAGCGGGGAGGAAGGUGUUGCGGUUAAUAACCGCAGCAAUUGACGUUACCCGCAGAAGAAGCACCGGCUAACUCCGUGCCAGCAGCCGCGGUAAUACGGAGGGUGCAAGCGUUAAUCGGAAUUACUGGGCGUAAAGCGCACGCAGGCGGUCUGUCAAGUCGGAUGUGAAAUCCCCGGGCUCAACCUGGGAACUGCAUUCGAAACUGGCAGGCUUGAGUCUUGUAGAGGGGGGUAGAAUUCCAGGUGUAGCGGUGAAAUGCGUAGAGAUCUGGAGGAAUACCGGUGGCGAA